GCUUGGUGUCCCAGGUUGCUACACUCCCGAAGUGAAUGGAUUUAUCGCUGUUAGGGCCUUUUUGUUUAGGGCCUAACAAAUAUUGUUAGUUUUGCCGAGAGCUGGCGCCGAGCCCUGCCCUCGUGGUGGGCCGUACCCACGCCCCCUGAGCGCGGAGUCGCGUGGCUCCGGAGUUUUGUUUUUUUGAAAGGAGUCUCCCAAUUGUCCGUGGAGUUUUUUUUGCGGCACAUGGAGUCUCUGCCUUCGCGACCCAGACCUUUGAUGUGAACACCUGCUCCCGUUACGCUCGGGUCCAGCGUCCGGGGCGGGGCUCGAGGCCGGGUGGAGGAGGGGUGGGGGCGGGGGUCUUGGUCUUGGGUGAGACCUGCAGAUACGGUCGGGCUGAAGGAGUAGAACUGGCUUCUAAAUGCCGGAAAAUCCGAAGGAACUGACUGCAGAAGGCACGUUUCCAAUUUUCGCGUGUUUUAAGUGCACCCUCCCGCCACCUCUCCUCUGGACAUCCCUCAUCCUUUUGAAGAUUGCCACACCUGGGCCCCUCCUAGAGUCUCCUCUUUGGAGGAUUCCUCACCUCCGAGAGAAUGCUUAGGAACCCACCUGAAUGAUUCCAAGUUAAGGUGUGGAAAGGCAGAAAUCUAGAUUUUUGAAGGCUCUAGGUUAUGUGUGUGUUUCUUUUUAUUGGGUUGUCAUAUUUGCACAUCUAGAGGUACUUUGAGAGCUCAUUAAAUCUUUACUGUUGCUGUUUCAGCAAUUUCCAACCAUUCUCAUACUUUCUGUCAUGUUGGGUUUCUGUCAUGUUGGAUGUAGAGAGGGCUUUGUUUUGCUUGAACAUUGAAAGGAAGUAAGUUAGGGAGACAGUUUUGCAUUAUUGAGGCAAGUUUCUCCACUUGCUGGCUGUUCUACGUAAGAAGUCAUUCCAAGGUGGUGGAAGGGAUGAUUCAAAAAUCAGGAGCGGGGAUGCACCUUGCACCCUCAUUUUACACCGGAGACUGCAGUCUCAAAAAAAAUUUGGCCUCUUCUUUGCCAGUUAUCUCUGACCACAGACAAGUACUUAACCACUGAGGACCUUCUUUUAAAAAUCUUAUUACAAAAGCAGUAUUCCUUUAUAUUAGAAUUUUCGGAGAUACAGAAAAGCCCAC
RNAcentral lists this long non-coding RNA (1136 nucleotides) under Homo sapiens (human). RNAcentral's name for it is "non-protein coding lnc-ALDH9A1-3:3". Lineage: Eukaryota; Metazoa; Chordata; Mammalia; Primates; Hominidae. The record is from RNAcentral.